CCUACGGGAGGCAGCAGUGGGGAAUCUUGCGCAAUGGGCGAAAGCCUGACGCAGCAACGCCGCGUGCGGGAAGAAGGCUUUCGGGCUGUAAACCGCUUUCAGCAGGAACGAAAAUGACGGUACCUGCAGAAGAAGGAGCGGCCAACUAUGUGCCAGCAGCCGCGGUGAUACAUAGGCUUCAAGCGUUGUCCGGAUUUAUUGGGCGUAAAGAGUUCGUAGGCGGUCGAGUAAGUCGGGUGUGAAAAUUCUGGGCUCAACCCAGAGACGCCACCCGAUACUGCUUAACUUGAGUUCGAUAGGGGAGUGGGGAAUUCCUAGUGUAGCGGUGAAAUGCGCAGAUAUUAGGAGGAACACCGGUGGCGAAGGCGCCACUCUGGAUCGAUACUGACGCUGAGGAACGAAAGCAUGGGUAGCAAACAGGAUUAGAUACCCUGGUAGUCCAUGCCGUAAACGGUGGGCACUAGGUGUGGGAUUCUAUUAACGAAUUCCGCGCCGUCGCUAACGCAUUAAGUGCCCCGCCUGGGGAGUACGGUCGCAAGCUUAAAACCNCGAAAGGAAUUGACGGCUUGAGAGUUGCGACGCGACGACGAGGGAGAGG
RNAcentral lists this ribosomal RNA (598 nucleotides) under uncultured bacterium. RNAcentral's name for it is "bacterial SSU rRNA". It matches the Rfam family "Bacterial small subunit ribosomal RNA", at positions 338 to 956 of the family's 1533-position model. The record is from RNAcentral.